UACACAUGCAAGUCGAGCGGCAGCACGGGUACUUGUACCUGGUGGCGAGCGGCGGACGGGUGAGUAAUGCCUAGGAAUCUGCCUGGUAGUGGGGGAUAACGCUCGGAAACGGACGCUAAUACCGCAUACGUCCUACGGGAGAAAGCAGGGGACCUUCGGGCCUUGCGCUAUCAGAUGAGCCUAGGUCGGAUUAGCUAGUUGGUGAGGUAAUGGCUCACCAAGGCGACGAUCCGUAACUGGUCUGAGAGGAUGAUCAGUCACACUGGAACUGAGACACGGUCCAGACUCCUACGGGAGGCAGCAGUGGGGAAUAUUGGACAAUGGGCGAAAGCCUGAUCCAGCCAUGCCGCGUGUGUGAAGAAGGUCUUCGGAUUGUAAAGCACUUUAAGUUGGGAGGAAGGGCAUUUACCUAAUACGUAAGUGUUUUGACGUUACCGACAGAAUAAGCACCGGCUAAUUCUGUGCCAGCAGCCGCGGUAAU
This 481-nucleotide ribosomal RNA is filed under the name uncultured bacterium. Its description in RNAcentral is "bacterial SSU rRNA". It matches the Rfam family "Bacterial small subunit ribosomal RNA", at positions 50 to 524 of the family's 1533-position model. The record is from RNAcentral.